GAUGAAGAACGCAGCGAAAUGCGAUAAGUAGUGUGAAUUGCAGAAUUCAGUGAAUCAUCGAAUCUUUGAACGCACAUUGCGCCCUUUGGUAUUCCAAAGGGCAUGCCUGUUCGAGCGUCAUUUGUACCCCCAAGCUUUGCUUGGUGUUGGGCGUCUUGUCUCUAGCUUUGCUGGAGACUCGCCUUAAAGUAAUUGGCAGCCGGCCUACUGGUUUCGGAGCGCAGCACAAGUCGCACUCUCUAUCAGCAAAGGUCUAGCAUCCAUUAGGCCUUUUUUUCAACUUUUGACCUCGGAUCAGGUAGGGAUACCCGCUGAACUUAAGCAUAUCAAUAAGCGGAGGA
This 341-nucleotide unclassified non-coding RNA is filed under the name soil metagenome. RNAcentral's name for it is "partial contains 5.8S ribosomal RNA, internal transcribed spacer 2, and large subunit ribosomal RNA". The stretch from base 1 to 120 matches the Rfam family "5.8S ribosomal RNA", at positions 35 to 154 of the family's 154-position model. The record is from RNAcentral.